CCUACGGGUGGCUGCAGUAAGGAAUAUUGGUCAAUGGACGAAAGUCUGAACCAGCCAUGCCGCGUGAAGGAUGAAGGUCCUCUGGAUUGUAAACUUCUUUUAUCUGGGACGAAAAAAGGGAAUUCUUUCUCACUUGACGGUACCAGAAGAAUAAGCACCGGCUAACUCCGUGCCAGCAGCCGCGGUAAUACGGAGGGUGCAGGCGUUACCGGGAUUCAAUGGGUUUAAGGGGUGCAUAGAUGGCAGUGUAGAAAUCUCCGGGCUUAACCCGGAAACUGCCAUUGAUACUAUCUGUCUUGAAUACUCUGGAGGUAAGCGGAAUAUGUCAGGUAGCGGUGAAAUGCUUAGAUAUGACAUAGAACACCGAUUGCGAAGGCAGCUUACUACGGAGUCAGUGACACUGAGGCACGAAAGCGUGGGGAUCAAACAGGAUUAGAUACCCUUGUAGUC
This 450-nucleotide ribosomal RNA is filed under the name uncultured bacterium. RNAcentral describes it as "partial 16S ribosomal RNA". It matches the Rfam family "Bacterial small subunit ribosomal RNA", at positions 338 to 795 of the family's 1533-position model. The record is from RNAcentral.